RNAcentral lists this transfer RNA (77 nucleotides) under Ramlibacter sp. RNAcentral's name for it is "tRNA-Ile". It matches the Rfam family "tRNA". Rfam says of the family: Transfer RNA (tRNA) molecules are approximately 80 nucleotides in length. The record is from RNAcentral. Lineage: Bacteria; Pseudomonadati; Pseudomonadota; Betaproteobacteria; Burkholderiales; Comamonadaceae.
GGGGCGUUAGCUCAGCUGGUCAGAGCAGAGGACUCAUAAUCCUUUGGUCGUUGGUUCAAGUCCAACACGCCCUACCA